CAUGGACAAGGAGCAGGAGAAACAGAAGGAGAGCUACUGGAGCAGAAUCAAGAAGGGGACAAAGUGUUUCGACAUAUGGGCAAAUGGACAAAAGGAAGGCGAGACCUGGGAAACCUCGCAGCUCUUUCGCUCCUAGCUGGGGUCACCAACUGAUAAAGACCAUCGACUGUCCGAGACUCUCAGGAGGUUUGGCAUCCACCAGAACCAGUGAGUUUGAAGCAGUCGGAUUCUCUGUGCUCUGAGUCGGAGGGGGACCAGCUUGAGGACCUAGGGCCCAACACCCAGACGUGGAUCCACCUGAUGUCCUCCAUUGCCAACCAUUCUACAAUUUUUCGUUACAUCAUCUACAGUUACUGUUGUUGUCAUUAUCUGCUAAGAAYGUUUUCUUGCUCUAUCAUACUGGGCACAUAUGUGAGAUACAUAGAUGAACUAAAAACACUAGCACUAGAAACACUCAGAACAAAGAGAGCAGCAGUGCCUGCUCUUUGCAGACUCCCUCUUCAAGUCCCCCUUCCAAGACUGGCUGCCUGUUGAGAACAAGUGACAGGCAGAACCUCCCGCCCGCACAGCAAGCACCUCCUCUAUAUUCCACACACCAGAAUUCAGUAUUUUAGUCUAUGAUUGCCAUGUGAGUGUACAAAAACAAUGAAUGACACAACUGUACUAAAAACGAUCAAAGUUUAUGUAUUUAAAUAUUGCCAGGUUGGUUUUCAUAGCUGUGUCAUAAGGUGUUCAUUAUUGUAAGUUGUAAGGUAUCA
Salvelinus sp. IW2-2015 is the source of this 758-nucleotide long non-coding RNA. RefSeq lists it as uncharacterized. NCBI's taxonomy places the organism in Eukaryota, Metazoa, Chordata, Actinopteri, Salmoniformes, Salmonidae. The record is from RefSeq and is a predicted model, not a curated record.